UACUCCUACGGGACGCAGCAGUGGGGAAUAUUGCACAAUGGGGGAAACCCUGAUGCAGCGACGCCGCGUGAGUGAAGAAGUAUUUCGGUAUGUAAAGCUCUAUCAGCAGGGAAGAUAAUGACGGUACCUGACUAAGAAGCUCCGGCUAAAUACGUGCCAGCAGCCGCGAUAAUACGUAUGGAGCAAGCGUUAUCCGGAUUUGCUGGGUGUAAAGGGAGCGCAGACGGCAAGGCAAGUCUGAUGUGAAAGUCCGAGGCUCAACCUCGGGACUGCAUUGGCAACUGUCUGGCUAGAGUGCAGGCGAG
RNAcentral lists this ribosomal RNA (305 nucleotides) under uncultured bacterium. RNAcentral describes it as "bacterial SSU rRNA". It matches the Rfam family "Bacterial small subunit ribosomal RNA", at positions 334 to 656 of the family's 1533-position model. The record is from RNAcentral.